Molecule: small nuclear RNA, 159 nt
Organism: Suncus etruscus (white-toothed pygmy shrew)
Lineage: Eukaryota; Metazoa; Chordata; Mammalia; Eulipotyphla; Soricidae
Product: U1 spliceosomal RNA
Exons: 1
Source: RefSeq, a predicted model, not a curated record
AUACUUAUCUGGCAUGGGCGAUUCCAUGAUCAGGAAGGUGGUUUCCCCAGGGUGAGGCUCGCCCAUUGCACUCCGGGUGUGCUGACCCCUGCAAUUUCCCCAAAUGUGGGAAACUGCGUAAUUUAUGGUAAUGGGGGACUGUGUGCGCACUCUCCCCUG